This 460-nucleotide ribosomal RNA is filed under the name uncultured bacterium. RNAcentral describes it as "partial 16S ribosomal RNA". It matches the Rfam family "Bacterial small subunit ribosomal RNA", at positions 338 to 795 of the family's 1533-position model. The record is from RNAcentral.
CCUACGGGGGGCUGCAGUGAGGAAUAUUGGUCAAUGGGCGCGAGCCUGAACCAGCCAAGUAGCGUGAAGGAUGACUGCCCUACGGGUUGUAAACUUCUUUUAUAAAGGAAUAAAGUGAGGCACGUGUGCCUUUUUGUAUGUACUUUAGGAAUAAGGAUCGGCUCACUACGUGCCAGCAGACGCGGUAAUACGGAGGAUCCGAGCGUUAUCCGGAUUUAUUGGGUUUAAAGGGAGCGUAGAUGGGUUGUUAAGUCAGUUGUGAAAGUUUGCGGCUCAACCGUAAAAUUGCAAUUGAUACUGGCAGUCUUGAGUACAGUUGAGGUAGGCGGAAUUCGUGGUGUAGCGGUGAAAUGCUUAGAUAUCACGAAGAACUCCGAUUGCGAAGGCAGCUUACUAAACUGCCACUGACAUUGCUGCUCGAAAGUGUGGGUAUCAAACAGGAUUAGAUACCCUUGUAGUC